RNAcentral lists this ribosomal RNA (1053 nucleotides) under uncultured Propionibacterium sp. Its description in RNAcentral is "bacterial SSU rRNA". It matches the Rfam family "Bacterial small subunit ribosomal RNA", at positions 336 to 1397 of the family's 1533-position model. The record is from RNAcentral. Lineage: Bacteria; Bacillati; Actinomycetota; Actinomycetes; Propionibacteriales; Propionibacteriaceae.
CUCCUACGGGAGGCAGCAGUGGGGAAUAUUGCACAAUGGGCGGAAGCCUGAUGCAGCAACGCCGCGUGCGGGAUGACGGCCUUCGGGUUGUAAACCGCUUUCGCCUGUGACGAAGCGUGAGUGACGGUAAUGGGUAAAGAAGCACCGGCUAACUACGUGCCAGCAGCCGCGGUGAUACGUAGGGUGCGAGCGUUGUCCGGAUUUAUUGGGCGUAAAGGGCUCGUAGGUGGUUGAUCGCGUCGGAAGUGUAAUCUUGGGGCUUAACCCUGAGCGUGCUUUCGAUACGGGUUGACUUGAGGAAGGUAGGGGAGAAUGGAAUUCCUGGUGGAGCGGUGGAAUGCGCAGAUAUCAGGAGGAACACCAGUGGCGAAGGCGGUUCUCUGGGCCUUUCCUGACGCUGAGGAGCGAAAGCGUGGGGAGCGAACAGGCUUAGAUACCCUGGUAGUCCACGCUGUAAACGGUGGGUACUAGGUGUGGGGUCCAUUCCACGGGUUCCGUGCCGUAGCUAACGCUUUAAGUACCCCGCCUGGGGAGUACGGCCGCAAGGCUAAAACUCAAAGGAAUUGACGGGGCCCCGCACAAGCGGCGGAGCAUGCGGAUUAAUUCGAUGCAACGCGUAGAACCUUACCUGGGUUUGACAUGGAUCGGGAGCGCUCAGAGAUGGGUGUGCCUCUUUUGGGGUCGGUUCACAGGUGGUGCAUGGCUGUCGUCAGCUCGUGUCGUGAGAUGUUGAGUUAAGUCCCGCAACGAGCGCAACCCUUGUUCACUGUUGCCAGCACGUUAUGGUGGGGACUCAGUGGAGACCGCCGGGGUCAACUCGGAGGAAGGUGGGGAUGACGUCAAGUCAUCAUGCCCCUUAUGUCCAGGGCUUCACGCAUGCUACAAUGGCUGGUACAGAGAGUGGCGAGCCUGUGAGGGUGAGCGAAUCUCGGAAAGCCGGUCUCAGUUCGGAUUGGGGUCUGCAACUCGACCUCAUGAAGUCGGAGUCGCUAGUAAUCGCAGAUCAGCAACGCUGCGGUGAAUACGUUCCCGGGGCCUGUACACACCGCCCGU